Molecule: non-coding RNA, 91 nt
Organism: Peromyscus maniculatus bairdii (prairie deer mouse)
Lineage: Eukaryota; Metazoa; Chordata; Mammalia; Rodentia; Cricetidae
Source: RefSeq, a predicted model, not a curated record
AAUGCAAAUAAGGAGGGACUAGGAAAUGAGUGGAAUUGGGAUGCAUGAUCUGAAAUUCUCAAAGAAUCAAUAAAGAAAUUAUGUAAAAAAU